UAGCUCUACCUUAGCUUCUCAUUAUACCAAAAACCCUCCCAAACUUAAGAGCCAUUCAAAUAAGGCACAGCUUAUUUGAAAUAGGGCACAACCUCUAACACCGGGUAAAUAAGGGUAACUUAAACAAAGUAGGCCUAAGAGCAGCCACCUUUAAAAAAGCGUUAAAGCUUAUCUAUAAAUACCCACAAUUUCCUAAAUCCCCAUUAACCCUUCACCACUACUGAACUAUUUUAUACCCGUAUAAAAGCUUUAAUGCUAGAACUAGUAACAAGAAAUAGCCCUUCUCCAAAAUGUAAGCUUACACCAAAAUGGACUAUCCAUUGGUAAUUAACGCAAAUGUUGCAGUCACAGCAACACACCUCUAGAAAACCCUGUGACCUCCUACGUUACCCUUACACUAGAACAUCUCAGGAAAGAUUAAAAGAGAAAGAAGGAACUCGGCAAAUCCUCAGCCCCGCCUGUUUACCAAAAACAUCGCCUCUUGACCAAGUAUAAGAGGUCCAGCCUGCCCAGUGACAAAAUUCAACGGCCGCGGUACCCUAACCGUGCGAAGGUAGCAUAAUCACUUGUUCUCUAAAUAGGGACUAGUAUCAACGGCAUCACGAGGGCUGUACUGUCUCCUUUCUCCAAUCAGUGAAACUGAUCUCCCCGUGAAGAAGCGGGGAUUAUUAUAUAAGACGAGAAGACCCCAUGGAGCUUUAAACUCAUCACUCACUUCCUCACCUCCAUGCCCGACCAUAUAAGGAAUCUGUGUGAUAGUUUUGGGUUGGGGGGACCACGGAGUACAAUUUAACCUCCAUGACAAAUGGGCUAACGCCCUUAUCUAUGAACUACAACUCUAAGAAUCAUAAACUGAUGUUUGAUGACCCGACAAUUCGAUCAACGAACCAAGUUACCCUGGGGAUAACAGCGCAAUCUACUUCAAGAGCCCCUAUCGACAAGUAGGUUUACGACCUCGAUGUUGGAUCAGGGUAUCCUAGGGGUGCAGCCGCUCCUAACGGUUCGUUUGUUCAACGAUUAAAACCCUACGUGAUCU
This 1036-nucleotide ribosomal RNA is filed under the name Nidirana mangveni. Its description in RNAcentral is "Nidirana sp. m ZTL-2020 partial large subunit ribosomal RNA". It matches the Rfam family "Bacterial large subunit ribosomal RNA", at positions 931 to 2606 of the family's 2925-position model. Lineage: Eukaryota; Metazoa; Chordata; Amphibia; Anura; Ranidae. The record is from RNAcentral.